This 254-nucleotide ribosomal RNA is filed under the name uncultured bacterium. RNAcentral's name for it is "partial 16S ribosomal RNA". It matches the Rfam family "Bacterial small subunit ribosomal RNA", at positions 524 to 776 of the family's 1533-position model. The record is from RNAcentral.
UACGAAGGGGGCGAGCGUUGUUCGGAAUUACUGGGCGUAAAGGGCGCGUAGGCGGCCGAUCAAGUCAGAUGUGAAAGUCCUGGGCUUAACCUGGGGACUGCAUUUGAUACUGAUUGGCUUGAAUGCAGGAGAGGAUAGCGGAAUUCCCAGUGUAGAGGUGAAAUUCGUAGAUAUUGGGAAGAACACCGGUGGCGAAGGCGGGUCUCUGGGCCGAUACUGGACGCUGAGGAGCGAAAGCGUGGGGAGCGAACAGG